This is a non-coding RNA of Phascolarctos cinereus (koala), 1465 nucleotides long. NCBI's taxonomy places the organism in Eukaryota, Metazoa, Chordata, Mammalia, Diprotodontia, Phascolarctidae. The record is from RefSeq and is a predicted model, not a curated record.
AGCACUGAGCUAAAUUCUGGGUAUUCAAAUAAAAACAACAAGAGACAGUCCCUGUUCUGAAGGAGCUUACAUUCUCAUGGAAUGCAUGGAAGGGAGCUGAAAAGCAGGACAAGGUUCUACAGAGUGGUACCCCAAAACUCACCAAAACAUUUCAGCAUUUAUAAAAACAUUCAAACCACGAUUUAGAAAUUCAGUCACAAAUUUAGUCUGAAUUCACUUUAAAUGCCACAAAUCCCUGCAGAGUAGGGCACAAAGAUUCCCUCUUUUCUUUAUCUCUUGUCUGCCUUCUAACUUAGCCAGAGUUUAGAAAGGCAGAGAGACGCUUUCUAGAGAAAUAAGUUUUUAUUCUUUCUCCUUCGGCUGAUCAGGCCCCAAGAAAAAGCUAGUUUGACUCGCAACAGAUAAUACAAGACAGACCCAUGAACACUUAAAAAUUGUGCGCAAGUAAAAGUUCCUUUUCAGGCCAGAUUUGGAACUUUUCUUUAUGUUUUAGACUAAUUUGGGUAAGGACUGGGGGUCAGCUAGAGAGACACCCUCAGCUUCAUCUUUGCUCGCUCUAUUUCCAGUUAUUCUCUUCUGACUCAGAUGAGUCUCUGUUUCCAGACUUUUUGAGGGCUUUCUAACCCCUUUUGAAUGGGAGGUGCCAUUCUACCUUCUCACCAGUUAUAGCUGGAGGCCCAGGACCUAAUCUCCCUUCCUGCUAAUGGCAGUGAGUGGCCUGAGACUUGUGUUGAUCACUCCUUGGCCUGAGCCAAGGCUCUAGUCUCCCUUGGAUGAAAAAAAUGUCUCCGAGGGGCUUCUCUCUUGGGGAUUUCCCAGUUUUCUAUUUGCCAGUUAUUGCCAGACAGCCACUCUAAAAACAACCAGGACAUCAAGACAGAUAAAACAUGUUGCAAUUUCUCUAGUAGUGCAGGGCCUUCUACCUUGGCUUGGAACAGUUGUUACAAAAAGGGAAGUCAGGAGAAGUCCUUCAGUGAAAAAGAGUGUUCUAGGGAAUGCCCCAGAGGUUGUCCCAGGAGUUGGGAUCCCUUCUUCAGCUUCCUGGCUGGCUCGCCAACUGUCUCGAUCGCCAUUAAGGGUUCGAUUGCAGUUCUGAUCAUUAUUCUGCAGUGGUUCUCUCACAGACGCUAGACUUCUCUUUCAUGGAGUAAUUCUCCCAUCUUGUGGACCUUGGGAAUAUUGUUCCCGAAGAGGGUUAAGAGGACGGUAUGGUCUCUUCAACAGUUAUCUCUUAGAUUUGUUUUAUUGGAGCACACCCACUGGAUUGUCUGAGAAUUUUAGGAGAUUUAUGGUCAGCUGGUUGAAAUUAAGCUGAGACGUGAGCCAAGCCCAGGGGCCAGAGGUUUCCCACACCUCUAAAAAGGUUUCAAGUGACAUUUGUAGGCAAGGCUCCUUUAAGUUUGAUGUCUGUGCCCUGGAUAACCCAUCUUCUCCCCCGCCCCCCCAUAUCAUGUUUUUAAAUGUA